This 508-nucleotide unclassified non-coding RNA is filed under the name uncultured Glomus. RNAcentral describes it as "SSU rRNA". It matches the Rfam family "Eukaryotic small subunit ribosomal RNA", at positions 569 to 1081 of the family's 1831-position model. The record is from RNAcentral. Lineage: Eukaryota; Fungi; Glomeromycota; Glomeromycetes; Glomerales; Glomeraceae.
AGCAGCCGCGGUAAUUCCAGCUCCAAUAGCGUAUAUUAAAGUUGUUGCAGUUAAAAGCUCGUAGUUGAAUUUCGGGAUCAAAGGAUCGGUCAUGCCUUGGUAUGUACUGGUUUUAUUGGUUCUCACCUUCUAAAGAACCAUAAUGUCAUUCAUUUGAUGUUAUGGGGAAUUAGGACUGUUACCUUGAAAAAUUAGAGUGUUUAAAGCAGGCUUACGCUUGAAUACAUUAGCAUGGAAUAAUGAAAUAGGACAUCAGAUUCUAUUUUGUUGGUUUCUAGGAUCGAUGUAAUGAUUAAUAGGGAUAGUUGGGGGCAUUAGUAUUCAAUUGUCAGAGGUGAAAUUCUUGGAUUUAUUGAAGACUAACUACUGCGAAAGCAUUUGCCAAGGAUGUUUUCAUUAAUCAAGAACGAAAGUUAGGGGAUCGAAGACGAUCAGAUACCGUCGUAGUCUUAACCAUAAACUAUGCCGACUAGGGAUCGGAUGAUGUUAAUUUUAUAAUGACUCGUUC